This 384-nucleotide transfer-messenger RNA is filed under the name Weissella confusa. RNAcentral describes it as "partial transfer-messenger RNA". It matches the Rfam family "transfer-messenger RNA". Rfam says of the family: Bacterial tmRNA, also known as 10Sa RNA or SsrA, is named for its dual tRNA and mRNA-like properties. The record is from RNAcentral. Lineage: Bacteria; Bacillati; Bacillota; Bacilli; Lactobacillales; Lactobacillaceae.
AGCAGGAUGAGAUGUCAUGUAAGCACGCAGAGAGUUGUUGGCCGCUCUCUAUAAUAUCUGACCUUCAAGAAUUUAUCUGGCGAAAAGAACUACGCUCUCGCUGCCUAAUCGAAGUACAGUAGAUUACCGGCUUUAUCUCGGCACCAGGUGCUGAGACGGGAUGUCACUCUGAGGCUCACCGCCCCGAAGCUCUCAGGCAUAGUGGCACAGCAAAUCGGGGAUAGCCGUGGGGGACGCAUCUAUCCCGAGGCGAAAUCCUUCAGAUGCUAAGGUUGCGAUUGGUGGUCCGGGUCUUGUCGCUUCCCUACAACCGAAGUCCGGAAUAAGCGUGUAGAAAGCAUGGGAUGUCCCUGUUUGGACGAGGGUUCAAUCCCCUCCAGCUCC